Molecule: ribosomal RNA, 497 nt
Filed under: uncultured bacterium
Lineage: Bacteria
Description: partial 16S ribosomal RNA
Rfam family: Bacterial small subunit ribosomal RNA
Source: RNAcentral
GAUGAACGCUGGCGGCGUGCCUAAUACAUGCAAGUCGAGCGAACAGACGAGGAGCUUGCUCCUUUGACGUUAGCGGCGGACGGGUGAGUAACACGUAGGUAACCUACCUAUAAGACUGGGAUAACUUCGGGAAACCGGAGAUAACACCGGAUAAUAUUUCGAACCGCAUGGUUCGAUAGUGAAAGAUGGCUUUGCUAUCACUUAUAGAUGGACCUGCGCCGUAUUAGCUAGUUGGUAAGGUAACGGCUUACCAAGGCAACGAUACGUAGCCGACCUGAGAGGGUGAUCGGCCACACUGGAACUGGGACACGGUCCAGACGCCUACGGGAGGCAGCAGUAGGGAAUCGGCCGCAAUGGUCGAAAGCCUGACGGAGCAACGCCGCGUGAGUGAUGAAGGUCUUCGGAGCGUAAAACUCUGUUAUGAGGGAAGAACAAACGUGUAAGUAACUGUGCACGUCUUGACGGUACCUAAUCAGAAAGCCACGGCUAACUACGUG